GCGCCUGUAGCUCAGGGGAUAGCGCAACGGACUUCUAAUCCGUGUGCCGUAGGUUCGAUUCCUACCAGGCGCGCCA
Molecule: transfer RNA, 76 nt
Filed under: Bacillota bacterium
Lineage: Bacteria; Bacillati; Bacillota
Description: Firmicutes bacterium (anaerobic digester metagenome) tRNA-Arg
Rfam family: tRNA
About the family: Transfer RNA (tRNA) molecules are approximately 80 nucleotides in length. Their secondary structure includes four short double-helical elements and three loops (D, anti-codon, and T loops). Further hydrogen bonds mediate the characteristic L-shaped molecular structure. tRNAs have two regions of fundamental functional importance: the anti-codon, which is responsible for specific mRNA codon recognition, and the 3' end, to which the tRNAs corresponding amino acid is attached (by aminoacyl-tRNA synthetases). tRNAs cope with the degeneracy of the genetic code in two manners: having more than one tRNA (with a specific anti-codon) for a particular amino acid; and 'wobble' base-pairing, i.e. permitting non-standard base-pairing at the 3rd anti-codon position.
Source: RNAcentral